Molecule: transfer RNA, 365 nt
Filed under: uncultured Microcystis sp.
Lineage: Bacteria; Bacillati; Cyanobacteriota; Cyanophyceae; Chroococcales; Microcystaceae
Description: partial 16S-23S ribosomal RNA intergenic spacer
Rfam family: tRNA (bases 136-209)
Source: RNAcentral
AAAGGGAGACCUAAUUCAGGUAGGAGACGAAAAAAAAGUAGUCCCUACCAAGAAUCAAUCCCAAAAGGUCGGAGCGAGGCGAAAUUGGCUUUCAAACUAGGUUCUGGGUUCACACAAGACCUGAAUCAGGAACAAGGGCUAUUAGCUCAGGUGGUUAGAGCGCACCCCUGAUAAGGGUGAGGUCCCUGGUUCGAGUCCAGGAUGGCCCACCUGUACAGGUGGCAAAAAGAAAGAAAAGAAGCGAGGAAUCAGCACCUUAUCUUACUUAUAUAGUAAGAGAGAAUGCUGGCUCUGAGUUCAGAGUCCAGAGGAACCUUGAAAACUGCAUAGAGCUAGGUGAAAAAGCCAAAAAAGAAGACCGCAAG